GGGUAUUGGGCUAAGUCGUAACAAGGUAACCGUAGGUGAACCUGCAGAAGGAUCA
This 55-nucleotide ribosomal RNA is filed under the name uncultured eukaryote. RNAcentral's name for it is "partial small subunit ribosomal RNA". The record is from RNAcentral.